RNAcentral lists this ribosomal RNA (205 nucleotides) under uncultured bacterium. Its description in RNAcentral is "partial 16S ribosomal RNA". It matches the Rfam family "Bacterial small subunit ribosomal RNA", at positions 28 to 229 of the family's 1533-position model. The record is from RNAcentral.
GACGAACGCUGGCGGCGUGCUUAACACAUGCAAGUCGAGCGGUAAGGCCCUUUCGGGGGUACACGAGCGGCGAACGGGUGAGUAACACGUGGGUGACCUGCCCCUCAGCUCUGGGGAUAAGCCCUGGGGAAACUGGGUCUAAUACCGGAUAUGACUCCAUGACGCAUGUUGGUGGGGUGGAAAGCCUUGUGCGGCUGAGGAUGGG